CUCCUCUCUAAAAGGGGAAAGAGGGCCUUUGUCAAGGGCUCAGGGAGCUGAUUGACAGGGGAUUUAACUUGAUAACCCCUUGGGGGAAGGGGUUAUAAUCAGAUUUAAUGGUGAGAAGGUGUGGGGUUGAUGCGCCUAUCCCCCUCAGUCCCCCGAAUCACCAGGCUAGCCCAGAUAUACAGGGCCUUGAGGGAAAGCGAAUCAGGAGAUGGGCAAAGAUACAGAAGAGAAUCCAAUUCCCCGAUGUGGUUCUCCAAGCGUGUUUAAUCCAUGAGAUGAAGGGGGAAAGAGAGUGAACAGGAAGGGACAGGGCCUUAUCUAGACUUUGGACAGGGAGGGCUUUCUGGCUCUCCGCCAACCUGAUCGGGGCAGGAAGGAAGGGACCCUGCUUAUCUGAUCCCAAUCACAGGGGUCGCUGGAAAAGGGGAAAGCAUAGCCAGAGUGCACUGAAACAUCUCCCCCUUUUUUGUUUAACAAGGUUACAGGAAUUCACUGGGGUCAGUUUAACCCUGAGUAUGGGUUUCCUGCCACCUAUAGUUGGUGGCGUAGUCAGACCUCCUUACGUUUGCUAACUGUAUGUGGUUGACUUCUGAGGAAGAAGGUAUGAGAUCCUUGAUAGCUUUGAAAAAAGUGACACAGGAUCCCGAACGCCAAGGUUACGAGGAACAGCGUAACAAGAUGUAACAAAAUUGAUCUAACAACAGAACACCACCAUGUGAAUCCCCAGCCCUUGAACAGUUCUUUGAACCAAUCCUCGGAUUCUUGCUUCACUUGUCUGAUCAGGCUGUUCAUGCUUUGAAGGGCAGGAUGGAUGUUUGGAGCUUUUGCAGUCAGGUCGAUGCACCAAAGUCCUUCAAAUUCCUGGCAUUCAUGUCCAUGCAGUAACAAAAGGAAAUCUACAGCAGCACGGUUUUGAAGUGUGGCCUGUCUGGUAAUUUCCUCAUCUUCCAGGAGGGAGCUGAUGGAGGCAGACGUUAAGUUUGCCUGUUUGAUUACCCAGCUUUCUAGGUGGCCCAAUUCACCUAGAGCUUUGGCUGCUGCAACCCAUGGAAGGAACAGUGACACAGCAACUCUUUUUGACUUGGCCCAAUGAACAAUUUCUGAGUUACAAUUUGGGUCCAAAUUGUCUGCACUUCUCUUUUGAAUUUUGUUUGCCAGUUUGUUUUCUGAGUCCAUUUGGCAAUUAGAGUUUGGUUGGGUGUCAAUACGGACAGCCUCCCUAUGGUACAUGGCCCUCCUAAAAGCUGAGAUGGAAUUCCUGCCCACGCCCGAUCCCCACAAAUCAAGAACAAUCCCUUAGGGAGACCUUUGGGACUUGAGUGAGAUGGGUUGUCUGCCCUGAUAUGGCUUGGGUUGUGACACCCCCUUCUUGCAGUAAAAUCCUCACCAUGUUGUUUUAUAACAUGGUACUCGUUAGUGUUAGAAAUUUUUGGGAUAACAGAAAAAUGUAUGCAGUAAGCUGCAGGAGAAGAACCCAGUAGCUCUAACUGUUGGGGUUCCUGAGCCAUCCGGGGCAAACCUCGCAACCACUCCUCUAAGGAUUUCCAACUUUGUGUGGUCAGGAUGUGUGUGACUCUGGGAUUUUGUUGGACCUAUGUUUGUCCAAACCUGCUGGAAAUUCUCCAGUCUGCCAUAGAAUUCCUACCAGACAGGUGGACAUAGGGUCCUUUGCUGCUGUAGUGGACAAACCAAUGUUUUCCUGCUGAAGUGUCUGUGCCAGGGUCACCCAGACGUUUUGACACAGCUGAGCGAUGACCCACGCAGCUGCCUGACUGUUCAGCAUUAGCAAGAUGACAACUUGAAUGGGGUUCAUCACAGGGUUAAGUGGGAGGUAGGUUUUCUAUGAAACGGAAAAAAAGACAUUUUUAAAACAUGUUAAAAGUUUCUGUUUCUGCUGAAAAGAAUUCACACUUAGGAAAAUUCUCCUUUUUCCAUUCAACGGCAUCUACUUGCUUCUUAUCCCCUUCUCUCUGAUCUGGAUUCUUGGGGACAAAAAGUUUCACCCACUUCUGGGGAAUUCAUCGAGGGCCUGAGGGAGUAGCUACACACGCAUAGCCAUGACCCCAGGUCACGAGCUCAUAGGGACCCUUGGUUUCCCAAGUUUCUGGAUCCCUAAUCAAGACUGGUGGACACUGAGACAAUUUGAACUGAUUGCCACUGUUUAAGUGAUGUACAACUGGUGGACUCAUGUUUUCAAAUGAACAGUUCAGAAAAUUGAUUAUAACAUCACUUUACAGAGCUUCUCCCAUGGAGACAUCCAUGGAACUGAACUGCUCUGUCUUUUCAAUACCUGCUUGAGCGUCUGUUGUGCACACUCAACCACAGCUUGACCUGUGGGGGAGUGAGCGAUACCAGUCUAAUGUUUCACUCCCCACUGCUGGAGAAAUUCUAGAAACUCCUUGGAUGCAUAUGCUGGGCCAUUAUCUGUUUUAAUCGCUUAUGGAACCCCCAGUACUGAAAAUGCUUGCACUAGCUGCUGUUUGGCAUGCAUAGCCUUUUGUCCUAUAUGAGCAGAGGCAUACACUGCACCUGAGAAUGUGUCCAGGCUUACAUGCACCAUGAACGCAUUCAAGGCGACCAAAACUUUGAAUGUGUGUGAUGUCUGUCUGCCGCACCUCAUAGCUGCCAAGGCUUCAGGGGUUUACCUCCAUGCCCAUCGAUGGCAUGGCCUGGAGCUGGCAGUUUGGACAGUUGGCCACAAUGGCUCGCGCCUGACUCCGUGUUAGCUGGAACUGUCGGAUCAGACCUGGCACAUUCUGGUAGUAAUGUUGGUGUCUCAGCCUUACCUCUUAGAAGACAUCAGGGAGACGUGCUUUGUAAACUGGUGCAGCAAGGGAGUCUGCUCUGUGAUUCCCCUCUGCAAUCUCACCUGGCAAAUCAGUGUGUGACCUCACAUGCAUCACAAAGAAUGGAUGCUCUCGAUGAGAGAUUAAAUAAAUCAGCCUUGAGAGCAAUCUGAGGGAUGUUCAUUCACUAUUUCUUUGAGCACAGCCUGCUCCACCCUGGACACUACUCCCACCACAUAGGCAGAGUCUGUUACCAAGUUGAUUGGCUCCGAGAACCUCUCAAAGCUCUUACCAUUGCAGCCAGUUCAGCCACCUGGGGGGAUCCCUCCACAAACUCAACAUCAGCUUCCCAGUGCCGGGUCUGUGGAUUUCUCCAAGUCAUCACUAACUUGUGGGAAGCCCCAGAUGCAUCCAUGAACACUGUGAGAGCCUUGAGUGCCCUCCGGCUCCUUUUCUCUGGAGGAAUAAGGUGGAAUUCCUCGUUAAACAUCUUGUGAGAUGGCACGUGGACUGAUAAUUGUCCCCUGUAGCUGUCCAUAGAUAAUUGGAGACUGGUGCUGCUCUGGAGCAAAUGUUCAAACAUCCCUUUGGUCAGUCUCUCAGGAGAGUUCCUUCCCUCCUCAGAAAGCCUGACUGGGAGAUGAAUACAUGCAAAGUCACAACCUGCCAAUUCGCAUAAUCUCACCCUGGCCUUCCGAAUCAGUUUUGCUAUCAGCUCUUGUGGCUCAGUGAUGGUCUUGGAUCUUUGAUGGGAGAGAAAAACCCACUCUAUGAUCAAGAGUGGAUCCUUCUGCCCCUCAAUCCAUUGGAAAAUCAACCCAUGUAAAUGUGGCAGUUCUCCUAGAACAAUGAAUUGGAAAGGCACGUUUAGUUCACACCGAUGUGCCUACCUCUCUGACAAGGCCUUCUGUACCUUUUCGAUUG
This is a long non-coding RNA of Taeniopygia guttata (zebra finch), 3710 nucleotides long. The record is from Ensembl. NCBI's taxonomy places the organism in Eukaryota, Metazoa, Chordata, Aves, Passeriformes, Estrildidae.